UACAGAGGUCCCGAGCGUUGUUCGGAUUCACUGGGCGUAAAGGGUGCGUAGGUGGUUGGGUAAGUUUGAUGUGAAAGCUCAGGGCUUAACCCUGAAAUGGCAUUGAAUACUACUUAACUGGAGGUUUGGAGGGGGGACUGGAAUUCUUGGUGUAGCAGUGAAAUGCGCAGAUAUCAGGAGGAACACCAAUGGCGAAGGCAGCUCUCUGGUACAUGAUUGACGCUGAGACGCGAAAGCGUGGGGAGCGAACAGG
RNAcentral lists this ribosomal RNA (253 nucleotides) under uncultured bacterium. RNAcentral's name for it is "partial 16S ribosomal RNA". It matches the Rfam family "Bacterial small subunit ribosomal RNA", at positions 524 to 776 of the family's 1533-position model. The record is from RNAcentral.